This 427-nucleotide ribosomal RNA is filed under the name uncultured bacterium. Its description in RNAcentral is "bacterial SSU rRNA". It matches the Rfam family "Bacterial small subunit ribosomal RNA", at positions 355 to 774 of the family's 1533-position model. The record is from RNAcentral.
UGGGGAAUUUUGGACAAUGGGCGCAAGCCUGAUCCAGCCAUUCCGCGUGCAGGACGAAGGCCUUCGGGUUGUAAACUGCUUUUGUACGGAACGAAAAGGCUCUGGCUAAUACCUGGGGCUCAUGACGGUACCGUAAGAAUAAGCACCGGCUAACUACGUGCCAGCAGCCGCGGUAAUACGUAGGGUGCAAGCGUUAAUCGGAAUUACUGGGCGUAAAGCGUGCGCAGGCGGUUAUGUAAGACAGAGGUGAAAUCCCCGGGCUCAACCUGGGAACUGCCUUUGUGACUGCAUAGCUGGAGUACGGCAGAGGGGGAUGGAAUUCCGCGUGUAGCAGUGAAAUGCGUAGAUAUGCGGAGGAACACCCAUGGCGAAGGCAAUCCCCUGGGCCUGUACUGACGCUCAUGCACGAAAGCGUGGGGAUCAAACG